GAUCAGAUUAGUAUCUCUUUCUCCCCCACUUUAUACCCAUGACCCUUAGACAUAAAAAUAUCCAUAGAAGCUCCUCCAAGGCAGGCCACUCCAAUCUCCCUCAAACCUUAAGUGAUUUUGUUUUUUCAAGUUCUAGUUGGAGGGAAACUUAAAAGUUGAAGAACCAAAUCAGGAGUUGAGUUCUUCAUCAAGCAAGGUUGAAGUACUACGGGCAGUAUCUAUUGAGUCGUUAACAACAAAGGUUUAGGUAGACAGACAGACGGUCCAGCUCGGUAGGACUUCCAUCAAGCAAUAGUCAGUGCGGUCCACUUGGUCCGGAGCUACAGUCUAUUUUAGUAUGCUAUUUUGAUGUACAUAUAUGGGUAUGACGGGGCCUUGUCCCGUCCUUUCUACAGCUUGUACUCCUCUAGAGGUCUGUAGAUAGUUGUAUGUAGUAUGGAUGUCAUUUAGCCUUGUCGGCUUCUAUUUUGUUGUACAGUGGCCUAGUCGGCUUGCACUGUUGUUUCCAGCAUGUUUGUAUAUAUGUUUAGGAGUUUUGAUGCGUAGUUCAUUGUGCUGUUUCCACAGAAGUCAGUAUAGUUUAGUUAUGAGUUAUUCAGUGAGAUCCAGGUACAAGGAUGGGAGUGUCAGACAAGUAGAACUCGGGCACUCGUCAUGACUCAUCGGUUUUGGGUCGUGACACCUGAGAUAUAUCCACUACUUUGGUGCAAUUGGUUGUUGGACCCCUUAUGUCCUUGCAUGAAAACUGGGUUCGAGUCUGGCUAUAGCAGUUUCGUUUCUACUUUUUUGUUGAAUUU
Molecule: long non-coding RNA, 797 nt
Organism: Lycium barbarum (goji berry)
Lineage: Eukaryota; Viridiplantae; Streptophyta; Magnoliopsida; Solanales; Solanaceae
Exons: 3
Source: RefSeq, a predicted model, not a curated record